Elaeis guineensis (African oil palm) is the source of this 88-nucleotide small nucleolar RNA. RefSeq annotates it as small nucleolar RNA U54. NCBI's taxonomy places the organism in Eukaryota, Viridiplantae, Streptophyta, Magnoliopsida, Arecales, Arecaceae. The record is from RefSeq and is a predicted model, not a curated record.
AGCUCUGUGAUUGCAGCCAAUUGAGUUGGCAAUAUACGCUAUUCUGAGAAAAAGAAUUAGAGAGCUGACAAUGGAUGAUAUGAGAGCU